Molecule: non-coding RNA, 166 nt
Organism: Triticum aestivum (bread wheat)
Lineage: Eukaryota; Viridiplantae; Streptophyta; Magnoliopsida; Poales; Poaceae
Source: Rfam
AUACUUACCUGGACGGGGUCGACGAGCAAUCAACAAGGCUCAUGGCCUAGAUCAAUGGCUUACAUUAUUGCACUUGAUAAAUGCGUUGGUCUACCAUCUUCUCAAAUGGGAGAAUGGACGACGUCAUAAUUUAUGGUAGAGGGGAUAUGCGUUUACACGGCCCAAA